GCUAGAGCUCGCCGGGGCCCAGGGUGGCCUCUGGCUGUGACGGGGCGGGGACGGAGAGUCCAGAGGAGGGGGGUGGACCGGGAUGCACUCCGAGGCUGCCUUUGGGGCUCGGAACCUGGAACGCCACCGUGCCCGGGUGGGGGUGGCCUGGCCGCGAUGCCCAGCCUGGGACGAAAGUACAUUGCUGCCACUCAAGGCGAUGGGGCUGAGGCUCCCAGACUGUGGACGCUGAUUUCCUAGUGGAUGGCUUUUGAUGCGGGGAUAAGGCUGUUUUCCCAUUUUGGCAAUAGAGGAAUGCUCACCAUAUUUGGAAACGGAUUUCACCAAGCUCCAGUGACAGUUGGUGGAGGUUGAAGCUGGUAACUCAUGGCGUUUAAAGUGCUAUCAGAGGCUAGAAGACAAAUUAAGAACUUAACCCACAACAGAUCAACCAAUUUCUUAGGAAUCAAAGAUCAACACUGGAGUAUUUCCUAAGAAAGCUUCCUUGGAGGUUGCAACAGGGGAGCAGAGCCAUUUGCACACCUGGACAAAAUCAGAAGGAUCAUUUUCAGUCAUUAUACCUUGUUUAAGAAGCAUGUACACAUUACAAUUAUUUUCAUCCAUGCAUUCUUGGUAACCAUACGAAACUUAGUCAUGUGUGAAUAAGCUGUAAGUACCAGAUCCAGGAACUAUAUUGUUCUCUUUUUGAAUCUAAUUCAGUCAUAUGUAACUGUGACCAAAUCUCAAUAAACAUUACCUAUUGGCCAUCUUA
This is a long non-coding RNA of Mastomys coucha (southern multimammate mouse), 751 nucleotides long. RefSeq lists it as uncharacterized. The record is from RefSeq and is a predicted model, not a curated record. The transcript is spliced from 3 exons. NCBI's taxonomy places the organism in Eukaryota, Metazoa, Chordata, Mammalia, Rodentia, Muridae.